UAGGGAAUCUUCGGCAAUGGACGAAAGUCUGACCGAGCAACGCCGCGUGAGUGAAGAAGGUUUUCGGAUCGUAAAACUCUGUUGUUAGAGAAGAACAAGGACGUUAGUAACUGAACGUCCCCUGACGGUAUCUAACCAGAAAGCCACGGCUAACUACGUGCCAGCAGCCGCGGUAAUACGUAGGUGGCAAGCGUUGUCCGGAUUUAUUGGUCGUACAGCGAGCGCAGGCGGUUUCUUAAGUCUGAUGUGAAAGCCCCCGGCUCAACCGGGGAGGGUCAUUGGAAACUGGGUGACUUGAGUGCAGAGGAGGAGAGUGGAAUUCCAUGUGUAGCGAUGAAAUGCGAAGGUAUAUGGAGGAACACCAGUGGCGAAGGCGGCUCUCUGGUCUGUAACUGACGCUGAGGCUCGAAAGCGUGGGGAGCAAACAGG
This 429-nucleotide ribosomal RNA is filed under the name Gemmatimonadota bacterium. RNAcentral's name for it is "Gemmatimonadetes bacterium partial 16S ribosomal RNA". It matches the Rfam family "Bacterial small subunit ribosomal RNA", at positions 355 to 776 of the family's 1533-position model. The record is from RNAcentral. Lineage: Bacteria; Pseudomonadati; Gemmatimonadota.